AGGGGCGAGAGAGGCAGCAGGGUGGGUGGGGAGAGCGUGGCUCAGGCUGAGCCAGCCGGGCGGGGGGAGGGUUCACGGCUCCAGCAGACACAGCAGGAGGAAGGUUGCUCCUUAGCAUGGAGAUGGUGGGCAAGGCCGCUCUCUAGGGGGAAGGGAGCUUGUAGGUGAUGGGAGAAGGAGGCUCCACAGGCAGAGGCUCCAAGCCAUGCAGGAGUCAGUGAGGUCAUGCUGCCCAGCUCACGAAUACGCGAUCUCCCAGCAGCUGCCGCCGCAGAUUUAAACCACGCACCGAGCUCCGUUCAUUGGCUGUCCUCUUGUCUUCCCUCGAUCGUCAUUGGCUGCUCCUCGUUCCACCCCGAAUGCGUUUCUGUGGAGACCGGGCGCUGA
Molecule: long non-coding RNA, 387 nt
Organism: Trachemys scripta elegans
Lineage: Eukaryota; Metazoa; Chordata; Testudines; Emydidae
Exons: 3
Source: RefSeq, a predicted model, not a curated record